CAGAGGUUGUUCGUCUUGCACACAGUGAGAUGAAGGAUCCUGUGCCUUUAGAUGUCUCAUCAUUAAUCACAUUUUCUGGAAACCUUGGACCACCAUUGGAGUUAUGUGAUGGGGAUCCUGGUACUCUCUCUGUAACUGUUUGGAGUGGCUUUCCUGAUGAUAUAACUCUUGAUUCUCUUAGCCUCACAUUGAUGGCUACAUUUAAUGCUGAUGAAGGUGCUAAGGCAUUAAGGAGCUCUACUGCUACUGUGCUAAAGCCUGGUAGGAACACAAUUACCCUUGCUUUACCCACGCAGAAGCCUGGUUCCUAUGUCUUGGGGGUCCUUACUGGGCAAAUUGGUCAAUUGAGGUUUAGAUCGCAUAGUUUUUCCAAGGGUGGCCCAGCAGACAGUGAUGAUUUUAUGAGUUAUGAAAAGCCAACUAGGCCUAUCUUGAAGGUUUUCAAACCGAGACCUCUGGUUGAUCUCACUGCAGCUGUUUCAUCUGCUUUGCUAAUAAAUGAAACUCAGUGGGUUGGGAUUAUAGUGCGGCCCAUUGACUACUCUCUCAAAGGUUCUGUCUUGCACAUUGAUACUGGUCCAGGUCUGAAGAUUGAAGAGUCACAUGUCAUUGAGAUGGAGAGCUGUGCCAAUGUAUCACAAAGUGCAGCUGACAUUUCAAACAUGAAUGGCACUCAAAAAGAUUGUACUUUGGCCGCUAAUAAAGAGCCUGAGCAAUUAAGCCUUGAUGAUGGUAGAAUAGAAUUUUCAGAUUGGGCAAGUGAUGUGAAUUCUGUUCUUUGGAUCCCUGUUCUUGCUAUCAGUGACACACUUCCAAAAGGAUCAUCUUCAGUCAACCCUCAGAAACAAAGCAUUGUGGAUGGUAUGAGAACAAUAGCAUUGAAACUUGAAUUUGGAGCAUCUCACAACCAGAUAUUUGAAAAAACUAUAGCUGUUCAUUUCACUGACCCUUUCCAUGUGAGCACACGCGUUGCAGAUAAAUGCAAUGAUGGUACUCUGCUUCUGCAGGUGAUACUACACUCCCAAGUGAAAGCCUCAUUGACUAUAUAUGAUGCUUGGCUUGAACUUCAAGAUGGAUUUGUUCACACUGGAAAAGGCAAUGGAAGGCCAACGUCAAGCUUCUUUCCGCUUGUGAUUUCUCCAACCUCAAAAGCGGGAAUCUUGUUCAGUAUUUGCUUAGGGAAGAUGAUUGGUGAAGAUGAAUUAGAGGCACGGAAACCAGAGACAGAGAGCAUAUUAAAUAUCAGAUAUGGAAUUUCUGGUGAGAGAACAAUUGGAGCACACCCUCCUGUGGCUGUGGAAUCAGUUAGACCUGAGGUAGCAAGGCAGGACUUGAUCUUCAAGAGUGCUCUUGUUUUGCAAAGGCCUGUGCUUGACCCAUGCCUAGCUGUUGGUUUUCUUCCUCUUCCAUCGACUGGCCUGAGAGUUGGGCAACUUGUUACCAUGAAGUGGAGGAUUGAAAGAUUGAAGGGUUUUGGAGAUGAUGAAAUAUCUGAACAGAGUGGUGAGGUUUUGUAUGAAGUCAGUGCAAAUUCCGAGAAUUGGAUGAUUGCUGGAAGGAAGAGAGGACAUGUUUCACUUUCCACAAAUCAAGGUUCAAGGAUAGUUAUCUCAAUACUAUGUGUGCCACUGGUGGCUGGUUAUGUUCGUCCUCCCCGCCUUGGGCUGCCAAAUGUUGACGAGUCUAAUAUAAGUAACAAUCCUCCUGGGCCUCAUCUGGUUUGUGUCAUGCCCCCUGUUUUGAGCUCCUCCUUUUGCAUCCCAGCAUGAUUGUUUUCAGCUCAUGCAUUCUGGUUGUCCUAGUUUUCCACGAAAAGUGGUUGGAUAGGUUCUUUGCUUCAAGCAAAUUAAAAGUAUCCAGUUUUGCUUACCUUGAAAUCUGUAAAUUUGUAUGUUCACCUAUUGUAGAGAAUCAAGAGAAGUUAGUUUGAGUUGUUCGAAUUUAGUUGCAGCCAGGUGGGUUUUUUGAGUGCUGCCAUCUGCUGUAUAACACUAUUAGUUCCUUAAACAUGUAUAGUUGAAUGCUGUAUGCUUCAUGUACGAGACACAAUGGAAACUGAAAAUCACAUUUUCAUCACCCUUAAAAAUUGUUUGGAUGACAUUUGUUUUGAUACAAAAUUAAGAAAAAAAA
Molecule: unclassified non-coding RNA, 2130 nt
Filed under: Hevea brasiliensis (rubber tree)
Lineage: Eukaryota; Viridiplantae; Streptophyta; Magnoliopsida; Malpighiales; Euphorbiaceae
Source: RNAcentral